AAAGUACUCCCUCCGUCUGGAAAUACUUGUCGGAGAAAUGCAGAAAAAUGAAUGUAUCUAGAACUAAAAUACAUCUAGAUACAUCCAUUUCUCCGACGAGUAUUUCCGGAAGGAGGGAGUAGUUC
Molecule: non-coding RNA, 125 nt
Organism: Triticum aestivum (bread wheat)
Lineage: Eukaryota; Viridiplantae; Streptophyta; Magnoliopsida; Poales; Poaceae
Source: Rfam